GAUGAAGAACGUAGCGAACGUGCGAAACGUAAUGUGAAUUGCAGAAUUCAGUGAAUCAUCGAAUCUUUGAACGCAUCUUGCGCUCCUUGGUAUUCCGAGGAGCAUGCCUGUUUGAGUGUCGUGAAAUACUCUCAAUUUCAAUCUUUUUGUUUGAAAUUGGAUUUGGAUGUUGUUGUGGAUCUUGCUACGACUCAUCCUAAAUGCAUUAGCGAUCUGCCUUGAUCACACACAAUGUGAUAAGAUGAGCAUUGUUAUAAUCAAGUCAUGACUGCUUCUAACCGUCCCUUUGGGACAAACGUCUUAUGUCGUUUGACCUCAAAUCAGGUAGGACUACCCGCUGAACUUAAGCAUAUCAAUAAGUGGAGGA
Molecule: unclassified non-coding RNA, 367 nt
Filed under: soil metagenome
Description: partial contains 5.8S ribosomal RNA, internal transcribed spacer 2, and large subunit ribosomal RNA
Rfam family: 5.8S ribosomal RNA (bases 1-121)
Source: RNAcentral